RNAcentral lists this transfer RNA (103 nucleotides) under Niveomyces insectorum RCEF 264. RNAcentral's name for it is "Sporothrix insectorum RCEF 264 tRNA". It matches the Rfam family "tRNA". Rfam says of the family: Transfer RNA (tRNA) molecules are approximately 80 nucleotides in length. Their secondary structure includes four short double-helical elements and three loops (D, anti-codon, and T loops). The record is from Rfam by way of RNAcentral. Lineage: Eukaryota; Fungi; Ascomycota; Sordariomycetes; Hypocreales; Cordycipitaceae.
GGGGCAGUAGCUCAAAUGGGAGAGCGCCAGACUGAAGAACUCCAGGACUUGUAACAGUCCAUCCGAUAUCUGGAGGCACUCGGUUCGAUCCCGAGCUGCCCCA